RNAcentral lists this unclassified non-coding RNA (2141 nucleotides) under Hevea brasiliensis (rubber tree). Lineage: Eukaryota; Viridiplantae; Streptophyta; Magnoliopsida; Malpighiales; Euphorbiaceae. The record is from RNAcentral.
UUAUUUUUUAUUUUUAUAUUUUUUAUGGUAAAUAUUUUACUCUGUAUUAGUUGGUUUUACUUAUACAAUUGGAUAUUUGGUAUGCUUCUCUGAUUUGGUUUUAAUUUUUGGAUGGCAUUAUUUAUGCCAAUAAAAUAAUAAAUACAAUGGACUCUUUUAAGGUGAAUUUCGUAAAUAUGAUUUAGUGCUCUAAGACCAGACCAAAUUUGUCCCUCUCUUAGUCAAUCUGACUAAUUAUACUUGGAUCAAGAACAAAUAAGCUUCUGAUUUAAUAGCUACUACUGUGAAAAUUGUAUCAAAAUAAUCUAUGGGAAAUGGACUAAAAGAGUAAGAAGAAUAUAUAUGGGAGAUGAUCUUUUCCUUGAAGAUGAGGAUGAGUAUCAUUAAUUUUCCUAGGAUUAACUUAGAAUGUAGCAUUUAGGAUUUUCUUUUGUGGUGUUUUUUGUGUGUGGUAUGCUCUGGUGUUGGCUGCUAUUGCAUUUGUCUUUAUUGCGUGUAUAUGGCUUUUAUUGCACAGCGGCUGUUUCUUUGAGCUCUAAUGUGCACAUGGCUUGUCUUCAAGUAGUCUUAGUAGUAAUCUUUGUAGCAUUGGUAUUUUAUUAUGUUUAUUAUGUGUAUUAUUAUUUUUUUGUGCAUUUAAUUAUUAUUACUCACAAAUUAGCAACAUUACACAAGUGUUGCAUACACAUUAGUAAACAUGUGUUUCUGGUAACUUACAUGUGUGCUUAUGUCCUAGUACCUUGUUUUCUUAGUUUGCCUUGCACAUUUAAGAACUUUGAUUAGAAAGUAAAGGAUACCUAAUACAACAAAAGGGAAAAAAGUUAUACCAACUAGAUAAUAGCCAACAUAAUGAAACAAAAAUCAAAUGAAACCAAAUUGAUAUUUAUUAGCAACAACCAAAACACUGAGGUGGAGUGACUAAUGAGCCUGCAAUCCAUUUCCACAAAUAACACAUUUCCAGAAGUCUAUUUUAACUGAAUAAGAAACUGCAUAGCGUAGACCUAUAGGGAUAGAAACCAUUGAAAGUUCUAUAAGAAUUGCAUAAUGUAUUCCUGUAUGGAUAGAUGUGGAAAGUUUCUUGAAGGAAAUUGAUGUAUCUAUUCUCAAAUAUUUAGAAAUGUCAUCAUCUGAGUUUCUGAUUGGUGCAGAAUUGGCAUGUCUACUUGGUUUUCAAGAAGGAUACUUGUUCCCUGUAUUUCUGUUUUGGCAUUACAUGCAAAAUAUUUAAACCAUGUAUUGUUGAUGUAGAGUAUAUUUUUAUAUGAAGGAUCUUUAGUUGUAUCCGUUACUAGUGUCAAUGGGCUGUAUAAUAUUAAUGCUAAUUUUGAUGCCCAAUUGCAAAAAAAAAAAAAAAAUUAAAACAUUUGCAUGAAUUUGCAAUUUUGUCAAUUUUGGUCUAAUUUUUGAUAAAUUAGUUGCAAUUUUCUCCAUUUGGUCAAAAUUGAAAUAAAAAAAUGCAUUAUAGUACUCACUAGAAUUAAAAGUUCAUUUUUUAAGUAUUUUGUUUUCUCUUUCCCACUCCUCCCCCUUUCAAUCUCCCCAAUGGCUUUUCCCCCUUCCUUUUCUCUCUCGUUCUGAGUCUAACAGUGGCUUCUUGGUUGACACCUCAUAGACUUAUUUCCCCAAUUAAGGGUAGACACAUGGUUAAAACGAUAAAAUGCUUUGGCCUGUUUAGGAAAAUUCUAUUUCUAUCCUCCUUUACGUGGUUAUACUUUGGGGCAUGAAAACAAAACCAAAGAGGCUGUUAAAUGAAGUAACUCACCAUAUUGUGGGCACCAUAUGUUGUACUGUGACAGAACUCUCCUAGUGAUGUUGAUUGAGCUUCUAUCCCAAGCACUCACUUGCAUCCAUUGUCAGCCUUUUUUAUUUUGAGAUCAUGAGAAGAGUAAGGUGGCUUGCUAACUCCUUUUUGAAAGCUUCUUGUUCAGGCAUAUAGCCUCCACCAAAAAAAUCCUUAGUACUAGCCAAACCUUUGAAACAAGAACUGUCAAAGCUGCCAUGGAAAUCUCAACAUAACCACUGUUGAUCAGACUAGUGGUGCCAACCAUGAAUCUCAUUUUUAGGUCUUAACAAGAGAGAAGGUGGUGGGAAGUAGAGAGAAAAAGGGAGGAAGGUGGUGGGAAGUAGAGAGAAAAAGGGAG